GCUACACAUGCAGUCGAGCGGGCGUAGCAAUACGUCAGCGGCAGACGGGUGAGUAACGCGUGGGAACGUACCUUUUGGUUCGGAACAACACAGGGAAACUUGUGCUAAUACCGGAUAAGCCCUUACGGGGAAAGAUUUAUCGCCGAAAGAUCGGCCCGCGUCUGAUUAGCUAGUUGGUAGGGUAAUGGCCUACCAAGGCGACGAUCAGUAGCUGGUCUGAGAGGAUGAUCAGCCACAUUGGGACUGAGACACGGCCCAAACUCCUACGGGAGGCAGCAGUGGGGAAUAUUGGACAAUGGGGGCAACCCUGAUCCAGCCAUGCCGCGUGAGUGAUGAAGGCCCUAGGGUUGU
Molecule: ribosomal RNA, 351 nt
Filed under: Bradyrhizobium sp. LMS90
Lineage: Bacteria; Pseudomonadati; Pseudomonadota; Alphaproteobacteria; Hyphomicrobiales; Nitrobacteraceae
Description: bacterial SSU rRNA
Rfam family: Bacterial small subunit ribosomal RNA
Source: RNAcentral